Molecule: ribosomal RNA, 684 nt
Filed under: uncultured Lachnospiraceae bacterium
Lineage: Bacteria; Bacillati; Bacillota; Clostridia; Lachnospirales; Lachnospiraceae
Description: bacterial SSU rRNA
Rfam family: Bacterial small subunit ribosomal RNA
Source: RNAcentral
UAACACAUGCAAGUCGAACGGACGAUGAAGAGCUUGCUCUUCAGAGUUAGUGGCGGACGGGUGAGUAACGCGUGGGUAACCUGCCUCAUACAGGGGGAUAGCAGCUGGAAACGGCUGAUAAAACCGCAUAAGCGCACAGCAUCGCAUGAUGCAGUGUGAAAAACUCCGGUGGUAUGAGAUGGACCCGCGUCUGAUUAGCUAGUUGGUGAGGUAACGGCCCACCAAGGCGACGAUCAGUAGCCGGCCUGAGAGGGUGACCGGCCACAUUGGGACUGAGACACGGCCCAAACUCCUACGGGAGGCAGCAGUGGGGAAUAUUGCACAAUGGGGGAAACCCUGAUGCAGCGACGCCGCGUGAAGGAAGAAGUAUCUCGGUAUGUAAACUUCUAUCAGCAGGGAAGAUAAUGACGGUACCUGACUAAGAAGCCCCGGCUAACUACGUGCCAGCAGCCGCGGUAAUACGUAGGGGGCAAGCGUUAUCCGGAUUUACUGGGUGUAAAGGGAGCGUAGGCGGCGGAGCAAGUCAGAAGUGAAAGCCCGGGGCUCAACCCCGGGACGGCUUUUGAAACUGCCCUGCUUGAUUUCAGGAGAGGUAAGCGGAAUUCCUAGUGUAGCGGUGAAAUGCGUAGAUAUUAGGAGGACACCAGUGGCGAAGGCGGCUUACUGGACUGACAAUGACGCUGA